GAGUUUGAUCAUGGCUCAGGACGAACGCUGGCGGCGUGCCUAAUACAUGCAAGUCGAACGCUUCUUUUUCCACCGGAGCUUGCUCCACCGGAAAAAGAGGAGUGGCGAACGGGUGAGUAACACGUGGGUAACCUGCCCAUCAGAAGGGGAUAACACUUGGAAACAGGUGCUAAUACCGUAUAACAAUCGAAACCGCAUGGUUUUGAUUUGAAAGGCGCUUUCGGGUGUCGCUGAUGGAUGGACCCGCGGUGCAUUAGCUAGUUGGUGAGGUAACGGCUCACCAAGGCCACGAUGCAUAGCCGACCUGAGAGGGUGAUCGGCCACAUUGGGACUGAGACACGGCCCAAACUCCUACGGGAGGCAGCAGUAGGGAAUCUUCGGCAAUGGACGAAAGUCUGACCGAGCAACGCCGCGUGAGUGAAGAAGGUUUUCGGAUCGUAAAACUCUGUUGUUAGAGAAGAACAAGGAUGAGAGUAACUGUUCAUCCCUUGACGGUAUCUAACCAGAAAGCCACGGCUAACUACGUGCCAGCAGCCGCGGUAAUACGUAGGUGGCAAGCGUUGUCCGGAUUUAUUGGGCGUAAAGCGAGCGCAGGCGGUUUCUUAAGUCUGAUGUGAAAGCCCCCGGCUCAACCGGGGAGGGUCAUUGGAAACUGGGAGACUUGAGUGCAGAAGAGGAGAGUGGAAUUCCAUGUGUAGCGGUGAAAUGCGUAGAUAUAUGGAGGAACACCAGUGGCGAAGGCGGCUCUCUGGUCUGUAACUGACGCUGAGGCUCGAAAGCGUGGGGAGCAAACAGGAUUAGAUACCCUGGUAGUCCACGCCGUAAACGAUGAGUGCUAAGUGUUGGAGGGUUUCCGCCCUUCAGUGCUGCAGCUAACGCAUUAAGCACUCCGCCUGGGGAGUACGACCGCAAGGUUGAAACUCAAAGGAAUUGACGGGGGGCCCGCACAAGCGGUGGAGCAUGUGGUUUAAUUCGAAGCAACGCGAAAGAACCUUACCAGGUCUUGGACAUCCUUUUGACCACUCUAAAAGAUAGAGCUUCCCCUUCGGGGGCAAAGUGACAGGUGGUGCAUGGUUGUCGUCAGCUCGUGUCGUGAGAUGUUGGGUUAAGUCCCGCAACGAGCGCAACCCUUAUUGUUAGUUGCCAUCAUUCAGUUGGGCACUCUAGCAAGACUGCCGGUGACAAACCGGAGGAAGGUGGGGAUGACGUCAAAUCAUCAUGCCCCUUAUGACCUGGGCUACACACGUGCUACAAUGGGAAGUACAACGAGUCGCGAAGUCGCGAGGCUAAGCUAAUCUCUUAAAGCUUCUCUCAGUUCGGAUUGCAGGCUGCAACUCGCCUGCAUGAAGCCGGAAUCGCUAGUAAUCGCGGAUCAGCACGCCGCGGUGAAUACGUUCCCCGGGCCUUGUACACACCGGCCCGUCACACCACCGAGAGUUUUGUAACACCCGAAAGUCCGGUGAGGUAACCUUUUUGGGAGCCGGCC
This 1486-nucleotide ribosomal RNA is filed under the name Enterococcus faecium. Its description in RNAcentral is "bacterial SSU rRNA". It matches the Rfam family "Bacterial small subunit ribosomal RNA". The record is from RNAcentral. Lineage: Bacteria; Bacillati; Bacillota; Bacilli; Lactobacillales; Enterococcaceae.